GGAACACGGUGAAAUUCCGUGACGGUCCCGCCGCUGUGAUCGGGGAUGGGGAUUUGCCCUGAGCGAAGGCUCGGUCACUUUCGGGGUCCACCUCGAAGGGAAGGCCGCGAAUCCCCAGUUGAUCCGAGAGUCAGAAGAC
RNAcentral lists this non-coding RNA (139 nucleotides) under Syntrophobacter fumaroxidans. The record is from RNAcentral. Lineage: Bacteria; Pseudomonadati; Thermodesulfobacteriota; Syntrophobacteria; Syntrophobacterales; Syntrophobacteraceae.